UUUAGCCUCCAGAACUCCCAAAACAGUGAUGAAUGCCAAUAAUAUGGACAAAGCUACCAUUUACACACUUUCCACAUGACAGGCAUCCUUGCUUCCUGCACUUAUCUGUCAGGACACUGACUGAAGAUACUGGUACCAGAAUUACCUUGGGAGACAAUGGCAUACUGCACUUAGCCCUUUGUGUUGUGGCUAUCAAUUGAAACUUCUUACUUUCUCCCCCUAGGUUGUAAAUUCUUUAAGGAAAGCACUGAGUCUCAUCUACAUCCCCAGACCCUAUCACAGAGCUUGGCAUAUAGUAGAUCAAUGUCCAGCACCAGAAUUAAUCAACAUGUGUUUGUACAACGAAUGAAUUCUUGGCUCUUUGCCUUUACAAUUUUCUCUUUCUUUUCCUUUAUCAUAGAACUAAACAAAUCCCUGGUAAAACUAAAUGACUAAUUUCAUCCUCUGUCACUUGGAGUUUAAGAAACCUAGUUCACCAGUUCAGCUAUUAAGUCAGCCUUAGAACUCAUAUGUCAUGGGUCUCUUUCUUACUACUAAUAAAAAAAAAUAGUAGACGCUGUUAUCAAUAGAUACCUAGAAUUCAGUUCUUUUUUUAUUUCAGAAACACAUACGCUCUAUUCUCAGAUCCAGUCCUUCAGAUGGGGCUCACACCCCCUCUCUUAUCUCCAAGAUAAACCCAAAGUCCAGGUAUAAACAAUGAGUUUAUGACCUCCAUGACCAAAAUAAUUACUUAGUUCAUGGGAUAAUUCAUCACCCACUUUUCUAGUCAGUGGUAGAACUUGUGUUCAUCUGGUGAGGAUAAAUAAUCUUUUCCACGUGGAACAUUAAGCAAGGUCAAUUUAAACCUGUAGCUACUAGUAGCCAUCUUGCUAUAGCAAGAGAAUAACCUACCAAAGAAAGAAGCCAUGCCAUGAGAUGUAGAGAAAAACAUUCUUGACAACAUAAUUGACAGACUACUACUAUAUAAAUAUUCAUCCAAGCUUGAUACAAGUUUGCUGCUGGACUUUCAGCUAUAUGAUCCAUUAAACUGAGCCUCCUUCUAUUUGAAAGAUAUGUGUGUAUGUAUAUGAUCUGACCAGCACCUUGAGCAUGCAGAAGGCCCAUCCCCAUGUUUAUUGGGUACUUGCUUCUUUCUUCAGGUCUUGAUCUCCAAGUGUGGGAUUAUGCCACUGAAAAUAGGGUCCUAGAAUAGCUAUUUGGCUAUACAGUGGAAAUAGCCAGUGGCUUUCAGAUAAGGAUAUAGAGGCAUUGCCUAAUAGUUGACAGCAUUUUGAAUGUGGUAAACUGUGUUCCAUCUCACUUUGAGUACUCAGGAGCUACAUACUCUUAGGAAGAUAUAAACAUAAAAAUAAGAU
Long non-coding RNA from Octodon degus (degu), 1355 nucleotides. RefSeq lists it as uncharacterized. The transcript has 3 exons. Lineage: Eukaryota; Metazoa; Chordata; Mammalia; Rodentia; Octodontidae. The record is from RefSeq and is a predicted model, not a curated record.